RNAcentral lists this microRNA (22 nucleotides) under Drosophila melanogaster (fruit fly). Its description in RNAcentral is "dme-miR-304-3p". Its record names the gene dme-miR-304-3p. Lineage: Eukaryota; Metazoa; Arthropoda; Insecta; Diptera; Drosophilidae. The record is from miRBase by way of RNAcentral. RNAcentral also lists the same sequence under 4 other names.
CACUUUGCAAUUGGAGAUUGCU